This 198-nucleotide small nuclear RNA is filed under the name Helianthus annuus (common sunflower). RNAcentral's name for it is "sRNA HanXRQr2_Chr09g0369791". It matches the Rfam family "U2 spliceosomal RNA". From Rfam's summary of the family: U2 is a small nuclear RNA (snRNA) component of the spliceosome (involved in pre-mRNA splicing). Complementary binding between U2 snRNA (in an area lying towards the 5' end but 3' to hairpin I) and the branchpoint sequence (BPS) of the intron results the bulging out of an unpaired adenosine, on the BPS, which initiates a nucleophilic attack at the intronic 5' splice site, thus starting the first of two transesterification reactions that mediate splicing. Lineage: Eukaryota; Viridiplantae; Streptophyta; Magnoliopsida; Asterales; Asteraceae. The record is from RNAcentral.
AUACCUUUCUCGGCUUUUUGGCUAAGAUCAAGUGUAGUAUCUGUUCUUAUCAGUUUAAUAUCUGAUAUGUGAGUCAUCGGCUCACUUGAUAUUAAUCUUAUUUUUCAUGUGGAAAGGCCCUUCACAAUAGUUUGCUAUUGGGGCCUUUGAGCGUCGCCUUGGUGUUGCGCUACUGCUAGGGCUGUAAACGAACCGAAC